This is a non-coding RNA of Salmo salar (Atlantic salmon), 1460 nucleotides long. The record is from RefSeq and is a predicted model, not a curated record. NCBI's taxonomy places the organism in Eukaryota, Metazoa, Chordata, Actinopteri, Salmoniformes, Salmonidae.
GAGGCGACACACCCAGCAGGAUCGCUCAACAUACAAACUGGACAGCAAGGUCACUCAUACUGUCAUAGUACUGCCCCAUGGCAUUCUUUUGUAACUCGAAGUAUGGCUGACCUAUGAUCUGACUGGUCAUUAAAAGGGGUGUCUCCAGUGCUCUUUGAGUGAAAUGGAAUGCGUAGAGUACAUGUAACUAACAGGCGUGAAACUUGCUGCAGCCUCUCAGUCCUUAUUCAUCAGGCUUGUUGAGAGAUGGGAAAAACCCUGAUUUGGCUCCACAUGUCUAGCAAUGAGGGAGAGUCAUGGGAGAGUGAGACUGGGCAUUGGUUCUGAAGAUGCGGGCCCUGAUAGCUCUUAUUACAGUGAGCUUUUCUGCCUAGUUUUAUAACUGUGUUUAUUUUCUGUUUUCCAACAUCUCAUGUAGAGAGUGGUCAGUGGUCACGUACUUCCUUGAUUAUCCGUGCUUUAGGAAGAAUGUAAGACUUUUUUUUUUUUUAUAUUUUUUUUUAACAGCUGUUAAUAAACAAAUGAAUUAAAGAAUGUCAACUUAACUGAAUGUUUUCAAAAUAUACUGUCUGGGAUGUAUGCUUCUUGUAGACAACACUUGUCUAUCGUAAUGUCCUGUUGGUGUGUGUAAUGAGGAGAGGAACUGCUAUUUCAUAGGAUUUAGUUUAGUCAAUGAAAAUAAACAUUUGUAGUGUCGCACUUGAAUAAGGUAAUUCUGGCAACCCAUGUUUUGUUUGAGAAUAAUAUAAGUUUGUUUCCCCAAAAUUAUUUCCAUUUUCUUCUGUCUUCAUAGCGCUUACUCUAGACUGGAGGGGAUGGCAUUGACUGGGAUAGGUCGGGCUUCUCGGACGAUCUGUGGAGAAAGCACAACCUUCCGCCCAACUGUGACAGAGAAAAGCCAUAACUGUUUGCCAGCUGUGGGAUGGCUUUGGCUUCUACCCCAUCCCUAAGGCCAUGCUCAAUCACCACCCUCUGUCCAUAGGUCCUGCUGUUUGGCACUGCCUGGACUGUGUGGAUGGGAUGGGAUGUGGCGGGGCCAUGGUGGUGGUCCACUGGCCUCAAAGUCCAAGUGCCAUCUCUCAUUGGUGUCAAACAGUUCCUUCAGGUUCUGUAGCAGCUCCAACCUCAGCUGUCAAAACCCUUUGCAACCAAACUGUCAAGGAGAGGAUGAUACAUUUGACCUAUGCUCAGGGAGAGAUGCUGAAGGAGGUCUAGGAGCCCGAGAGAGGUCAAGGAGGAACUCUGAGGACAAUGGCCACAGGCCCUCAGGGUCCCAGCCAUCCCCUCCAUCCUCUAGCGUCAACUCAGAUACAAAUGGAGAUGGUAAACCUUGAAAAGGAAGAAAGACACUGAAAGAUCCAGGACUAAGACCCAGAAGUAAAAACGCUCAUCAGGCCUGUGAACAUUAAAUCUUUCAUCCAGAGCUGUCCUUAUAUUUUAGAUAAAUAAUAAUAUUUCUG